This 84-nucleotide transfer RNA is filed under the name Sulfurimonas sp. RIFCSPLOWO2_02_FULL_36_28. RNAcentral's name for it is "tRNA-Leu". It matches the Rfam family "tRNA". From Rfam's summary of the family: Transfer RNA (tRNA) molecules are approximately 80 nucleotides in length. The record is from RNAcentral. RNAcentral also lists the same sequence under 5 other names. Lineage: Bacteria; Pseudomonadati; Campylobacterota; Epsilonproteobacteria; Campylobacterales; Sulfurimonadaceae.
GCCUGCGUGGUGAAAUGGUAGACACGGCGGAUUCAAAAUCCGCUAACGCGAGUUGUGGCGGUUCGAGUCCGCCCGCAGGUACCA